AUUUGAGCCAUAAAUAUCUCACAGAGGCUUCCUGAUGUCACAUGCUCUUGGAGAGAGAGGCCGGUCUGAAAGUGAAAACAGCAGCAGUUCUACUCUGAGGACAGUAUAGGCAGCGAAAGAAAAGCAAGGCAAGGCAAACAGUGCUCUCUGUGUGGACUAGAGGACUGCAGGGGAAAGGAGGAACGCCACAGAGAUGAGGGGACUGCAUCUUAAGUGCAGCUGAUACAGCAGCUCUCCCAGCCCCUGGCUAGGAGGGAAAAGGGAAAGGUGCCCUUGAGGUGAAUAGCUGGGUAGGAGAAUUUCAGUUGGUCUGUGGUGUAGAAGGAAGUGCCUUGGUAUCAUAUUGGACCCUGAAUCGGAGGAAGAAAAGCUGAAGAACAGUGGCUACAUUCUAAAAACAUCAGGAAAGGGGGGAAGAGGGUGUGGCUGUGACUGUGACUGUCAUGAAGGGACCCUGCACCUCUGAAUUUGCCACUAUGCUACUGCUGUGAGUGAGAUCCCACUGGAUUUGUACCGCCUCAUAUAGACAUCUUCCAGAUGUGUCACAACUCUGCUGGUCUGCUGACCAUGAUUGCUGGAUGACUUCCAGAGGCUAGAGAGUUCCAGAAGAAUGUAAAGUCAUUUCGGGGCAGCUACAUAUUCUAAUUGUUGGAUAAGUGAAGAGGAUACCAUUUCCUGGCACAAGGAGCGAGUUCCCAAACCUUACAUAAAUAGGCCAACCAGAUGUCUCUAGGAAGGUCACAAACAGGACACGAGGGCAGUAGCCCUCUCCAUCUGGUACGCAGAGGGUGGUGCCGCUGAUUCUGAAAAUAGGAUACGGCCAUCAUUUACCAGUAGCCAGUGAUAACCAUUCUCCAUUAAUUUGUCUAAUUGUCCUGGCUCCCAUCCAAAACACAAUGGCAGAGGCUCUUACUUGGAACAGUCCAUCAACUGAAGGAUCAGUCCAUUAUCUCCAGAUUUGAUCAAUUAAGCAAGAAACAAGAGGUCAUAAUAUCCUGAACACCAAAGGGUUCCUUCCUCAACAUCUCUUCAGUUACCUCACUUCAGGUGGCCAAUAACAUGAACCCCACAGAAACAGAGGCCUUCAACAUGCCCCUCCCAACAACACACCACAACACCCUCAUCAAGACAACUGCAUGAAAGAUGCAAGGUCAAUAUCACAGGGACUUCAGGGAGGUACACCACAGCCAAGCAAGAGGAACAAAGAGCCAGAGAGCUGUGUUGCUUUCACCAACUAGAAGACUCAAGAGGGAGAUCUUAUGGACUCUGGCCUCCUGGCCCGCACCCUGGCCACAGCUACUGGUAGCAAAGGAGUUUCUGGGAUUGCUUACUCACCAGCAGACCCCUUACUCACAGGGCUCCCAGCUGCCCACAGCCUGAAGCAGCCAGCUCUUGGAACUCAUUGAUGCCAUGCACUUUGAAUGCAAAUACAGCAAGUACGCCUGGGAGUGGCGGAACUUGGUGACAUUCCAUUGUUCUCAUGGAGAAUUGUAUGGAACAAAGAUGGCUGCCCCACUGUUUCUAAAUUUGGAUUGAUACCUAUAAAUUAGCAUACACACACUGUAUGCAAAUCUGUGUCUUAUUUUGUCCUCUUAGUGAUGCGUGGCAGUUUGCAUGAAAUAAUUAUAAAUGUAAAACAAUUUUUUCAAGAAAUGUAAAAACAAUCUAGUUACAAAAACUAAAAACAGGAGUUGUUUAAAAUUAUUCAAAUCCCUUCUGUGUUCCUUUCCCAUUCAUCCCCAUUGUUUCCCCCAUUAACAAAAUGUAGAGACUAACGUCUUUGGGACAAGGUACAAUCUUUGUUUUUGUUUAUGUUAACUCAAAUAAACUCAAAACUCAAAUUCUAGGCUCCAUGGUCCAAACAAUUAUACAAAACAGGUUUAUUCAAAGUGACAGUAUUGUUUAAAAUGUCUCUCAAAUUACAGAAGUUAUUAAUCACAAUGGCUUCGAUCCAGACUAACAGUGCUACCCCAAACAUGCCUACUCAGACGUAAGUCCUGUUGAUAUCAAUGGGACUUUCUCUUAGGUGAGUGGGUACUUGCACUUAGCUCCCAUUGAAAUAUAUGGGACUGAAAUCAUAACUAGGUUGUUGCGCUUUUUUGAAUGGGACCUAAGUUCAACUGACUUACAGCAAGCUAAAUUAAUUGCAUUUAGCCCCAUUCAACUAACUUACAGCACAGUCCUAUACAUUUCCUAUUAGAAAUAAGCAUAGUUCAGUGGGGUUUACUCAUAGAUAAGUGUGUAUGGGAUUGCAGCCUUAGUCUGGAUCCCACCCUUUGCUGCACACUGCUAUGUAUCAAUACUGUUUUGAAAUAUUAGCCCAUAACUACUGAUAUGUUAAACAGCAUGGCAUUACACUGUAAAGUGCCAUGCACGUUAAUGGUUCUGUAAAAAUAAGUAUUAGACGCCCUGUACAAAGUAUGACUCAGUAAAAUCUUCACUCAGCUCAGCCUUCUGGCUGGGUCUCAGGCUGUCUUCCUGUACAAGCCUAUAUAAUUGCUUAUGAGCCAGUUCAUUAACAUUGGUUAAGAACAUAAGAGGAGCCCUGCUGGAUGAGACCAAAGGCCCAUUUAGUCCAGCAUUCCUUUCCCACAGUGGCCAACCAGAUGUCUCUAGGAAGCUCAAAAGACAUGAGUGCAAUAACACAGUGGUUUAGGCCCACUGAAACCAAAGAGCUAUACACGGACACAAAGUCAAACAUCGUCUUUCAACUCCUAAAUAAGCACAGAGCUUUUGAACAUCUGGGGAAAACUUUGCAAGGGUUUUUCCACUCCCACCCACUCUGAACUUCCCCUGUAGAAAUGAAAGUGAUGAGAUGAUAACAGAGCAAAUGUUCUUACCUGAACUUCCCAAAAGUGUUUGGUUCCAGUUCAGGCUGAAUUUUGCACUGUGCUUCCCAUCUGUUUUUAGUUAAUUUGAGCACCUUCCUUCAUCUCAAGAAGUUGUCCAUAACCAUUGGUGUCAACUUCUCUGUGGCCGAGCACAGAGUGUGCAGGCCCUAUCCUUUAAAAGCCUUGGCAUUUGCAUAACCCUCAAUUGUAGCAAUGUGAAUAUGGCUCUGGUUACAAUAACAAGGGUUUAGGGAACGCGGAGAGAGAUUUUUAACUGCAAAAGCACAAAAGCAAAGCAAAACAAAACAAAACCCCACAUACUGUUUUCAUUUUCAAUAGCCACGUGAGGACUGUCCUCUGGUUUUCAGCUAUAAAUAAACCACUGCUGUCAUAGGAAGAUGGAAAACAAUUCACUUGUACUCCUCCUCCCGAUUUUUCUUAAAUGUUUCUUUCUUUUCCUUUUCUUCUUAAAGUAAAGGGCUCCUAAAGCAAAAUGUGCCCGUGAAGAAAAGGGUUAGUUAGGCAAAGAAUGUUGACUUUAAUUCUUCCUGUUCCAGACAAAUGCUGUUAAGUGUAUUGUUUGUAGUGUUUUAUAAACCACACAGUCAUAGAAGUUUGUGCUAUUACAGGUAAAACAGCUUCUAAAGUUAAGCAAAUAAAGGAAAUGUUUGCAAAGCGUCAUUAUAAUUCACUGUCCACCCCAAUUUACAAAAAUAUUGACGCAGACUUGCACUGCAGCAGCUUUCCCCAAAUUGGUGCCCUCCGGAUGUUUUGGAGUACAACUCCCUUUAGUCCCAAACAGCAUGGGCAGUGAUCAGGAAUGAUGGGAGUUGUAGUCCAAAACAUCUGGAGAAGACCAGGUUGGGGGAGGUUGCUCUAGAAAUCCAGACUUUAAGCUGUUGAAUCUAAUUGGGGUUCUGUUUAACGAGAAUCUGAAGAUCCACUGACCAGAGCCUGAUGCACAAGAUAUGCAUUUAGAAUUAAAUAAUUCUGAGCCCAGGAAUUUAUUUUGUGUAUCAGAACUGAAUGGAGUUCAUAGUUCUUCCAUGCAAGAGUCCACUUCCCCAAGCCCUCUUCACUUCAGCAGUAUAAUACAGGAUGGAGAGGGCUUGUUCUGUUGUUGCUAUUGUUAAACAACUGAGAGUAAGAAGUCCUUGCCAAUCUACAAUAAAUUGCCCAGAGUUGUACCAGUAGAUCAAGAUCUAACUUCUGCCCACCCUUGCUCUAAUCUUCCUAGAGCCUGUAGAGGGAUGGACCAGCAUCUCAUAAACUGGCAUAAAGAUGGUUUUACAUAACAAAUUUGAAUUAUGACAUACUGAUGAUAAACAAGGACUUUUUGGUGACAGCACUCACCGGUAUGGAGUAUGGACACCUCUUUUUUGGUUGCCCAUGGCAGCCAUUUUAUGCUGGCACCUAUGGCACUUUUAUCCAGAUAUGGAGUAUGGGCACCUAAUUUUUUACCCCCCCCCCCAAGAAAAGCACUGAUAAUAAGCCAAUGUCAGGAAUAUUAUUGACAGAAAUAAAUUUUAACGAGGAGGAGAAGUGUUCCAGUGAGGCUUCCGUUAUUCAGCCUAGUUCAAAAAACUUGUUUUUCAAAUUUGCCUUUUAGGGCAAAUGCCCUCAUAAGGUGGCUUCCACAAGAGAU
This is a long non-coding RNA of Rhineura floridana, 4476 nucleotides long. RefSeq lists it as uncharacterized. The record is from RefSeq and is a predicted model, not a curated record. NCBI's taxonomy places the organism in Eukaryota, Metazoa, Chordata, Lepidosauria, Squamata, Rhineuridae. The transcript is spliced from 9 exons.